UGGGAAUAUUGCACAAUGGAGGGAACUCUGAUGCAGCGACGCCGCGUGAACGAAGAAGGCUUUCGAGUCGUAAAGUUCUUUUAUAUGGGAAGAUAAUGACGGUACCAUAAGAAAAAGCCCCGGCUAACUACGUGCCAGCAGCCGCGGUAAUACGUAGGGGGCUAGCGUUGUCCGGAAUCACUGGGCGUAAAGGGUUCGCAGGCGGAAAUGCAAGUCAGGUGUAAAAGGCAGUAGCUUAACUACUGAAAGCAUUUGAAACUGCAUAUCUUGAGAAGAGUAGAGGUAAGUGGAAUUUUUAGUGUAGCGGUGAAAUGCGUAGAUAUUAAAAAGAAUACCGGUGGCGAAGGCGACUUACUGGGCUCAUUCUGACGCUGAGGAACGAAAGCGUGGGUAGCAAACAGG
RNAcentral lists this ribosomal RNA (402 nucleotides) under Fusobacteriota bacterium. RNAcentral describes it as "Fusobacteria bacterium partial 16S ribosomal RNA". It matches the Rfam family "Bacterial small subunit ribosomal RNA", at positions 356 to 776 of the family's 1533-position model. Lineage: Bacteria; Fusobacteriati; Fusobacteriota. The record is from RNAcentral.